ACGGGGGCAGCAGGCGCGAAACCUUUGCAAUGUGCGCAAGCACGACAAGGUUAAUCCGAGUGUUUCCUGCUAAAGGAAUCUUUUGUUAGUCGUAAAACCACUGAUGAAUAAGGGGUGGGCAAGUUCUGGUGUCAGCCGCCGCGGUAAAACCAGCACCUCAAGUGGUCAGGAGGAUUAUUGGGCCUAAAGCAUCCGUAGCCGGCUCUGCAAGUUUUCGGUUAAAUCCAUUUGCUUAACAAAUGGGCUGCCGAAAGUACUACAUAGCUAGGGAGUGGGAGAGGUAGACGGUAUUCGGUAGGAAGGGGUAAAAUCCUUUGAUCUAUUGAGGACCACCUAUGGCGAAGGCAGUCUACCAGAACACGUUCGACGGUGAGGGAUGAAAGCUGGGGGAGCAAACCGGAUUAGAUACCCGGGUAGUCCCAGCUGUAAACGAUGCAGACUCGGUGAUGCACUGGCUUGUGGCCAGUGCAGUGCCGCAGGGAAGCCGUUAAGUUUGCCGCCUGGGAAGUACGUACGCAAGUAUGAAACUUAAAGGAAUUGGCGGGGGAGCAC
This 552-nucleotide ribosomal RNA is filed under the name uncultured Nitrososphaerota archaeon. RNAcentral describes it as "bacterial SSU rRNA". It matches the Rfam family "Archaeal small subunit ribosomal RNA", at positions 325 to 879 of the family's 1478-position model. Lineage: Archaea; Thermoproteati; Nitrososphaerota. The record is from RNAcentral.